Molecule: ribosomal RNA, 603 nt
Filed under: uncultured bacterium
Lineage: Bacteria
Description: bacterial SSU rRNA
Rfam family: Bacterial small subunit ribosomal RNA
Source: RNAcentral
GUUUGAUCCUGGCUCAGGACGAACGCUGGCGGCGUGCUUAACACAUGCAAGUCGAGCGAUGAAGCUUCCUUCGGGAAGUGGAUUAGCGGCGGACGGGUGAGUAACACGUGGGCAACCUGCCUCAAAGAGAGGAAUAGCCCUCCGAAAGGAGGAUUAAUACCGCAUAAAGUUAGAGUUUCGCAUGAAACUUUAACCAAAGGAGUAAUCUGCUUUGAGAUGGGCCCGCGUCCCAUUAGCUAGUUGGUAAGGUAAUGGCUUACCAAGGCAACGAUGGGUAGCCGACCUGAGAGGGUGAUCGGCCACAUUGGAACUGAGACACGGUCCAGACUCCUACGGGAGGCAGCAGUGGGGAAUAUUGCGCAAUGGGGGAAACCCUGACGCAGCAACGCCGCGUGGGUGAUGAAGGUUUUCGGAUCGUAAAACCCUGUUUUCUGGGACGAUAAUGACGGUACCAGAUGAGGAAGCCACGGCUAACUACGUGCCAGCAGCCGCGGUAAUACGUAGGUGGCAAGCGUUGUCCGGAUUUACUGGGCGUAAAGGGUGCGUAGGCGGAUGCUUAAGUGAGAUGUGAAAUACCUAGGCUUAACUUAGGGGCUGCAUUUC